CAAGAAAUUUAUCACAUUGUGCUAUACAUGCUUGCCUGAUUGCAUGACUAUCUCUGAAAAGACCAUGAGCACUUUGUGAAAACCUUUAGAACCUGAGUUCCAGAUCCAAUUUGAAGCAUGUUAUCCAAACCUGGCACUAUGAGUCUCCUAGAAAACUGUUGAGUGGAAAUUCCCUAAAUCAUAGACACAAAAACUUCACACCAAUAACAGGAGUCCUGGUGCCUAGAGGACAGUGAAAUUAUACAACAGCAAGACUAAGGCAUCUGCAAAUCACGGUCUUGAUCCUCUAUCUAUCAGGACACACACAACUCAGGCUAACAGUUCAAAACUUCAAGUAUCUGGCUGCCAUUAUCUGGACCUUGAGGACCACUAUACUAAAG
This 380-nucleotide long non-coding RNA is filed under the name Capra hircus (goat). Its description in RNAcentral is "lncRNA (ENSCHIG00000007106.1)". Lineage: Eukaryota; Metazoa; Chordata; Mammalia; Artiodactyla; Bovidae. The record is from RNAcentral.